CCACGGGCGGCAGCAGUGGGGAAUAUUGGACAAUGGGCGAAAGCCUGAUCCAGCCAUGCCGCGUGUGUGAAGAAGGCCUUCGGGUUGUAAAGCACUUUCAGUGGGGAAGAAAGCCUUGGGGCUAAUACCCUCGAGGAAGGACAUCACCCACAGAAGAAGCACCGGCUAACUCCGUGCCAGCAGCCGCGGUAAUACGGAGGGUGCGAGCGUUAAUCGGAAUUACUGGGCGUAAAGCGCGCGUAGGCGGUCUGAUAAGCCGGUUGUGAAAGCCCCGGGCUCAACCUGGGAACGGCAUCCGGAACUGUCAGGCUAGAGUGCAGGAGAGGAAGGUAGAAUUCCCGGUGUAGCGGUGAAAUGCGUAGAGAUCGGGAGGAAUACCAGUGGCGAAGGCGGCCUUCUGGACUGACACUGACGCUGAGGUGCGAAAGCGUGGGUAGCAAACAGGAUUAGAUACCCUAGUAGUC
RNAcentral lists this ribosomal RNA (464 nucleotides) under Vreelandella stevensii. Its description in RNAcentral is "partial 16S ribosomal RNA". It matches the Rfam family "Bacterial small subunit ribosomal RNA", at positions 339 to 795 of the family's 1533-position model. Lineage: Bacteria; Pseudomonadati; Pseudomonadota; Gammaproteobacteria; Oceanospirillales; Halomonadaceae. The record is from RNAcentral.